AUGCUCACCACGACCACCACGAGCUACCCCAUCAGUAGAUCGAGACCUCUUUUGGCUGCCCUAACUGAGUUGAAUCCAUUCACGGUGCCAAAAUUGCGAAAAACUUGCUCAUUUAGGUGUAUAAAUUGGUGGCAUUUUUGUGUAGAGAGAGGAGAAGGUAAGAACACAAAAGAACAGAAGAAGAAGGGAGGAAGGGGAGAAGAAGAAGGGAGGAAGGGGAGGAUAAGGCAGCAGCCGGCCAGCUCCGCGAGGUGGCAGCACCCUGUCGGCCAGCAGCUGGCCGAUCGGCCCGCGGGUGUGUAUGAAAAUGGUGGAGAGAUUGCCGUGAAGAUACUAAAUAACAUUCCAGUUGGAUUAGAUGAUACAAAGUUUCUCAAAGAGUUCAACAAUCUUAGGGGGCUUAAGCAUCAAAAUAUUGUGGAGUUAGUGGGCUUCUGUAAUGAAUCAGUGGAAGGACCUGCUAUGUUCGAAGGAAAACAAGUUACUGCUGUAAGUCUGCGUACGGCGCUUUGCUUCGAGUAUGUAUCCAAUGGUAGCCUUCACAAGCAUAUCUCUGGCGAGUUUGACAUAUUUAGUUUGGGCGUUAUCAUUGUAAAGAUAAUGACCGGACAUCAAGGCUACAAUUCUACUGUUGAGAUGAUGACCCGGAAAUCUGUUACGCUGGUACAAGAAAGUUGGAAGAAGAAGCUACGUGAAACAUUCUAUCAAGACAGUGGUGAGAAUUCGCCCAUUCUUAUAAGAAAGAACAACAGCAUCACGAUCAAGUCCAGAUCUUCUUCAGGCAACUUUCGGUAUGCGGAGCCAAGGGCAAUGCCUUUCAGUUUACUAAAAGUCGUUACAAGCGAUUUCUCUCGAGAGGAAUUAAUUGGCCGGGGUGGCUAUGGAGGUGUUUACAAGGGAGUCUAUGGGGAUGGACAAAUUGCUGUGAAGCUCUAUACUUUAAAAGGAAUAGAUAAUAAGCAGUUCCAGAAUGCAAUUGAAGUCCACAAGAAGUUCCAUCAUGAAAAUGUCGCGCAAUUAGUUGGCUACUGCUACGAGACAGAAGAAGUGGUUAUACCGUUCAACGGAAAGCAUGUAGUGGUUGGUUUGGAUAUACACAUGGCAAUCUGCUUGGAGUAUUUCCCAAAUGGAUCCCUUAAUCGGUACAUCUCAGACGUGAAAUCCGGACUGGACUGGUGUAUGCGCUACCAAAUAAUUAAGGGCUUAUGUGAUGGUUUAAGAUACCUCCAUGAGGGUUUGGAGAGUCCUGUUAUUCACAUGAACCUAAAACCUAGCAAUAUAUUGAUGGAUGAGAAACUGACACCUAAAAUAGGCGAUUUUGGUCUAGCAAGAUUCGGUGCAGGAAAGAGCGACAGGACAAUGGAUAUAAGUGGAGCACGUGAAUACAUGCCGCCGGAAUUCAUUGAAAAACAAGUAAUAUCAAAAAAGCAUGACAUAUACAGCUUAGGCGUUAUAAUCAUAAAGCUGAUGACAGGGGUGAAAAUGUAUUUGAAAUGUUACGAUAUGUCUUCCGAGAAGUUUAUUGAGCUGACGCUUGAAAAUUGGAGGGAGAGGCUGCAGAAAACAGUGGAUGCUACAUUAAUUGAAGGAUAUUGUGAACAAGUUAAGAAAUGCUUGGAUAUAGCGUUGACCUGUCUGGCGAGUAACAGACGCAGAAGGCCUACCAUCGGGGAUAUCGUACAUACACUGAACGAAACAGAAACCUUGAUUCCGCAAGUGGAAAUUAUCUUGGACUCGGAGCUGCUUGAUUCAGAAGACUCUGAUCAGCUUCUUCAUGUUCAUCCCUCAGAGCUCUACUUUCUCCCAGCCAUGUCAUCGGUAGAAGUACCAAGAAAGAAGGUGGCCAUGAUCUCCUCCUGCUCAGUGCAGUUAAAUAACAAGGGAGAUGACCGCGUUGCGUUCAUGCUUGUGGCAAAAAGCCCCAAGAGGUACUUGACAAAGAAGCCACUAUGUGGCGUUGUGCCUCCAGGAUCCACCUACACCCUCACUCUCACAAUGCUCAAGCAGCAGCCACUUCCAUCGGGCAUUGACGGCGAGUUCUUCACACUGUAUAGCCUUGCGGUGAAUGAAUAUGACCUCCAGGACGAGGAUGUUGAGAAAGAUUCGAUCUCCGUCAAGUACAACAACUUCUUUGAGAAAACUAAAGAGAAAGCUGGUGCUGACCAAGAGGUAGUGCAAGAGAUGACGUUGAAGGUUCUCUGUUGUCAACAUCAAGAAGAUGAUCAUGUGACAUCAUCAUCUGAGGUCAUAACCACGUCUGAUGCUCAGCAAGUUUCCUCCAUAGAUGUGCACCCAACCGAGCCAUGGAUUAUUACGACCAAUAAUGUGGGGAGCCUUCGUUCUUGGAACUACAAGACAAUGGGGCACAUUGACAGAGUGAUGCAAGUAAAGUUUAACCCAGAGGACAAGGACAGUUUCGCUAGUGCUUCUAGGGAUGGCACGGUCAAGAUCUGGAGUAUAAGUUCUGAUGAAAUCGUCACGUUGAAAUUGGAUGGGUGUGUGGAAAACCUUCUUUGUAUUGAUUACUUUACACGCAAUAAGAAGCAGCAUCUGAUUGUGGGCUGUAAGGACAGGAUCGCACAGAUCUGGAAACUGGGAAUGGGUCAAUGUGUUGACAAGCUAGAAGGGCAUGUGGACCAUGUCAGUGCCGCCAAUUUGCACCCUGAGCUUCCAAUGUUAAUUACAGGUUCACUUGAUGGGACCGUACGCAUAUGGAACUCCACUACCUACAAGCUUGAGAACAUAAUUGGUUUCAAUCUCGGUGCAGUUUAUGCUGUUGGAUGUAUAAAGGGCUCAAGAAGGAGGCUCGGGGUGGUCGCAGGUUCGGGCGCCAUCUCCUUCCUUCCCGUACACUGGGAUCAAACAGCCCGCGGCCUGGCGGUGCCGGCCUGGAUCUGGAGGCAGAUGGACCAGAUCCUGGAGCUGGGCACGAAGGAGCUCGAGGUCGACGACUCCGGCUUCGUCCUCCUCCUCUGA
This 2976-nucleotide ribosomal RNA is filed under the name Triticum aestivum (bread wheat). Its description in RNAcentral is "partial small subunit ribosomal RNA". Lineage: Eukaryota; Viridiplantae; Streptophyta; Magnoliopsida; Poales; Poaceae. The record is from RNAcentral.